RNAcentral lists this ribosomal RNA (682 nucleotides) under Carinotetraodon lorteti (redeye puffer). RNAcentral's name for it is "partial 16S ribosomal RNA". Lineage: Eukaryota; Metazoa; Chordata; Actinopteri; Tetraodontiformes; Tetraodontidae. The record is from RNAcentral.
CCGAAACUGAACGAGGCUACUCCAAGACAGCCUUCAUAGGGCACAUCUCUCUCUGAUGGCAAAAGAGUGGAAAGAGCUUCGAGUACAGGCGACAAACCUACCGAGUUCAGUAAUACCUGGUUGCCGACAAUUGAGUCGAAGCUCACCCUUUGUGACUUCUUACACCACCACCGCAACAGGAAAACCGAAGCUAACAAAUCAAAAAAGUAAAUCAAUGGGGGUACAGGCCCAUUGAUCUAAGAAACAACUUUUCCAGGAGAAUAAGGAUCAUAUUACAACCAAGGCUAUGUGUUCCGGUGGGCCUAAAAGCAGCCACCCCAUAGAAGCGUUAAAGCUCAAACACACUCUGCCAUAAUCCCGAUAACACAUCCCAACCCCUGGCCUCUAUCGGGCUUUCCAUGCUCCCCCAUGGAAGAGAUCAUGCUAGUAUGAGUAAUAAGGGGCCGACCCCCUCCAGGCACAAGUGUACAUCGGAACGAACCCCCACCGAAACUUAACGAGCCCAACCAAAGAGAGCAAUGAAUACCAAAUAAACAACAAGAAAAACAUUCAACACCCCGCCGUUAACCCCACACUGGCGUGCCCAACCGGAAAGACCAAAAGAAAAAGAAGGAACUGCAAACCAAAAAGCCCCGCCUGUUUACCAAAAACAUCGCCUCUUGCAAAAACAACGAAUAAGAGG